AUUGAACGCUGGCGGCAUGCCUUACACAUGCAAGUCGAACGGCAGCGGACCUUCGGGUGCCGGCGAGUGGCGAACGGGUGAGUAAUAUAUCGGAACGUACCUUUCAGUGGGGGAUAACGUAGCGAAAGUUACGCUAAUACCGCAUAUUCUGUGAGCAGGAAAGCAGGGGAUCGCAAGACCUUGCGCUGAUUGAGCGGCCGAUAUCAGAUUAGCUAGUUGGUGAGGUAAAGGCUCACCAAGGCGACGAUCUGUAGCGGGUCUGAGAGGAUGAUCUGCCACACUGGAACUGAGACACGGUCCAGACUCCUACGGGAGGCGAGCAGUGGGGAAUUUUGGGACAAUGGGCGCAAGCCUGAUCCAGCCAUGCCGCGUGAGUGAAGAAGGCCUCGGUUGUAAG
This 397-nucleotide ribosomal RNA is filed under the name uncultured bacterium. Its description in RNAcentral is "bacterial SSU rRNA". It matches the Rfam family "Bacterial small subunit ribosomal RNA", at positions 30 to 429 of the family's 1533-position model. The record is from RNAcentral.